Molecule: long non-coding RNA, 657 nt
Organism: Tigriopus californicus
Lineage: Eukaryota; Metazoa; Arthropoda; Copepoda; Harpacticoida; Harpacticidae
Exons: 2
Source: RefSeq, a predicted model, not a curated record
AUGUAGCGAUGGAAUGAUUCUCGGAAGCAUCCUCGGAGGGAUUCUUCCCAUGAUGUGGUGAUCAUGUUGGAGGGUCCCCGCUCGUACUCUGGGUUGAUCUGAUGUGUUCUAGUGGCAAGGAGGGGGGAGUAUGCCAGAAAAACACAGAAUAGAACACAUGUCAAAACGGCAGCCAAGGACUUCUUUGCCUUCGGCUGCGUCUUCGUCUUGUCCUGGAUUUCGUGUCCUCGAUAGUAGUACCGGGGACGGAUGGUUCUUAGAGGGUUGGAUGGUGAGCGAAUUUACUCUCGACUAACGAGUAGGAGUCUGAUAAUGGCACUUUACAAGACCAUCAUGACGGGGUCUCCAAAUGCAGGCAUGCCCAUGAUGGUUGUUGAUGCUGUUGUGGUUGUUGUUUGGGGGGGCGUGAGAGAUCGAUGGAUGAAAAGAUUGGGAAGAUUUUGAGCCCGCCCUCUAGGGUUCAAUAGGUCACGGUGCGAAUGGGGGACACACUCACUCACGCAUGGUGCUGCAUCACGUUGUAUACACACACUAGCUCGCCGCCAAGGCUCUUCCUACCCCAUUAUUCAUCGUUCACGCCAGAGUUGAACGAUGGACAUUAUUUUUAUGAUGAGCAAGCUCACAAAAGAUGAAGCCUCGUUGGCAUCUUUUCCUUGG